UACGAAGGGGGGCUAGCGUUGCUCGGAAUGACUGGGCGUAAAGGGCGCGUAGGCGGAUGGCUUUGUCGGGCGUGAAAUUCCAGGGCUUAACCUUGGGGCUGCGUUCGAGACGGGUUGUCUUGAGUGGGGAAGAGGGUCGUGGAAUUCCCAGUGUAGAGGUGAAAUUCGUAGAUAUUGGGAAGAACACCGGUGGCGAAGGCGGGUCUCUGGGCAACAACUGACGCUGAGGAGCGAAAGCGUGGGGAGCGAACAGG
Molecule: ribosomal RNA, 254 nt
Filed under: uncultured bacterium
Lineage: Bacteria
Description: partial 16S ribosomal RNA
Rfam family: Bacterial small subunit ribosomal RNA
Source: RNAcentral